RNAcentral lists this ribosomal RNA (448 nucleotides) under uncultured organism. RNAcentral's name for it is "partial 16S ribosomal RNA". It matches the Rfam family "Bacterial small subunit ribosomal RNA", at positions 335 to 799 of the family's 1533-position model. The record is from RNAcentral.
ACUCCUGCGGGAGGCAGCAGUGGGGAAUAUUGGACAAUGGGCGCAAGCCUGAUCCAGCCAUGCCGCGUGAGUGAUGAAGGCCCUAGGGUUGUAAAGCUCUUUCACCGGUGAAGAUAAUGACGGUAACCGGAGAAGAAGCCCCGGCUAACUUCGUGCCAGCAGCCGCGGUAAUACGAAGGGGGCUAGCGUUGUUCGGAUUUACUGGGCGUAAAGCGCACGUAGGCGGACUAUUAAGUCAGGGGUGAAAUCCCGGGGCUCAACCCCGGAACUGCCUUUGAUACUGGUAGUCUUGAGGUCGAGAGAGGGGAGUGGAAUUCCGAGUGUAGAGGUGAAAUUCGUAGAUAUUCGGAGGAACACCAGUGGCGAAGGCGGCUCACUGGCUCGAUACUGACGCUGAGGUGCGAAAGCGUGGGGAGCAAACAGGAUUAGAUACCCCUGUAGUCCCAUG